RNAcentral lists this ribosomal RNA (42 nucleotides) under Astragalus peduncularis. RNAcentral's name for it is "partial 26S ribosomal RNA". The record is from RNAcentral. Lineage: Eukaryota; Viridiplantae; Streptophyta; Magnoliopsida; Fabales; Fabaceae.
CGAGACCUCAGGUCAGGCGGGGCUACCCGCUGAAUUUAAGCA